AGGACGAACGCUGGCGGCGUGCUUAACACAUGCAAGUGGAGCGACGAACCAGGGCUUGCCCUGGGGCAGAGCCGCGAACGGGUGAGUAACACGUGGGUUACCUGCCUUGAUGACCGGGACAACCCGAGGAAACUCGGGCUAAUACCGGAUGUGCCCGCAAGGGGAAAGGAAGCUUCGGCCUCCGCAUCAAGAUGGGCCCGCGGCCCAUUAGCUUGUUGGUGAGGUAACGGCUCACCAAGGCUUCGAUGGGUAGCUGGUCUGAGAGGACGAUCAGCCACACUGGGACUGAGACACGGCCCAGACUCCUACGGGGGGCAGCAGUGAGGAAUUUUCGUCAAUGGGGGCAACCCUGAACGAGCAACGCCGCGUGCAGGAUGACGCUUUUCGGAGUGUAAACUGCUUUUCUCGGGGAAGAGCAAGGACGGUACCCGAGGGAAUCAGCCCCGGCUAACUACGUGCCAGCAGCCGC
Molecule: ribosomal RNA, 469 nt
Filed under: uncultured bacterium
Lineage: Bacteria
Description: SSU rRNA
Rfam family: Bacterial small subunit ribosomal RNA
Source: RNAcentral